UAUUUGUGUCCCUUUUCCACAGGACCAUCAGUAUUGCUGUGUUCUAGUAUAAAGGCAUAAGGGUGGAAUCAAGAGAGCAGUUUGAUAGUAGCUAAAGCUGAAACUUCUCUGAUAAUCCUUUCAAACUAAUAUUUUAAAAAGGCCUCAAAAUGACAUGAGUCAAAAACCAAAAGCAAGACAGAGUGAAGGACUCUCUUGUUGAACUCAACUUAAAAGGUGACUUCUUUGAGCCUCAACUCUUUGCAUCUCUUCAUCUGGAAAAUAAGAGAAAAUACAAGAGCACUUCUGCUUGCCUCACAGGAUUUUUAUGAGGACCAGUAAUUAUAAUGUGGAGCAAGGUUGGAGGAGUGAACUACAACUGCUCUGUCACCAAAAAAUCUUCUGAGACAAAUAUUAAAAUGUCACCACAAAACAAAUACAGGAGUGAAAGAACCAGCAAAGAGACAGAUCAAAACAAAUUUCAAGAAAAGAAAAUAACCAAAAGGUAUACAGAAGGAAGGCUUGGGAUCACUGUUCUUACUGUGCUGCCUGAAUAAGUUCCUCUGCUUUGAGAUAACUAUGUCUUCUCACUGACUAAUAAAAUAAAGCAAAAGAGUAAUCA
RNAcentral lists this long non-coding RNA (601 nucleotides) under Monodelphis domestica (gray short-tailed opossum). RNAcentral describes it as "lncRNA (ENSMODG00000044395.1)". Lineage: Eukaryota; Metazoa; Chordata; Mammalia; Didelphimorphia; Didelphidae. The record is from RNAcentral.